GAGAUUUUAAGUUAAAUAUAAACUAGUAACCUUCAAAGCUACCAAUAAAAGUUAAGUCUUA
Molecule: transfer RNA, 61 nt
Filed under: Diaphanes sp. FM11
Lineage: Eukaryota; Metazoa; Arthropoda; Insecta; Coleoptera; Lampyridae
Description: tRNA-Trp
Source: RNAcentral